GUGAAUCAUCGAAUUUUUGAACGCAAAUUGCGCUUCCUGGCAUCCCGGGAAGUAUGCCUGUUUGAGGGUCAGUAUUAAUAAAAAAUCGGUUAAGAUACAAAUUGUGACGGUUGUGGAGAUUGGGCUAUCUUAACAUUUUUGGUUAAGAGGCUUAAAAUUGACCUUUUUUGCGCAUUUUAAACUGUACUUAAUUUUUUUUUGUUGAUCUUUACUUAAG
Molecule: unclassified non-coding RNA, 217 nt
Filed under: Glomeraceae sp.
Lineage: Eukaryota; Fungi; Glomeromycota; Glomeromycetes; Glomerales; Glomeraceae
Description: partial contains 5.8S ribosomal RNA and internal transcribed spacer 2
Rfam family: 5.8S ribosomal RNA (bases 1-71)
Source: RNAcentral